GCUCCCUACGGGGCGCAGCAGUGGGGAAUAUUGCACAAUGGGGGAAACCCUGAUGCAGCAACGCCGCGUGAGUGAAGAAGUAUUUCGGUAUUUAAAGCUCUAUCAGCAGGGAAGAAAAUGACGGUACCUGACUAAGAAGCUCCGGCUAAAUACGUGCCAGCAGCCGCGGUAAUACGUAUGGAGCAAGCGUUAUCCGGAUUUACUGGGUGUAAAGGGAGCGCAGGCGGUACGGCAAGUCCGAUGUGAAAACCCGGGGCUCAACCCCGGGACUGCAUUGGAAACUGCCGCACUAGCGUGCCGGAGAG
Molecule: ribosomal RNA, 305 nt
Filed under: uncultured bacterium
Lineage: Bacteria
Description: bacterial SSU rRNA
Rfam family: Bacterial small subunit ribosomal RNA
Source: RNAcentral